Molecule: ribosomal RNA, 274 nt
Filed under: uncultured bacterium
Lineage: Bacteria
Description: partial 16S ribosomal RNA
Rfam family: Bacterial small subunit ribosomal RNA
Source: RNAcentral
ACACGAACCGUACAAACGUUAUUCGGAAUUAUUGGGCUUAAAGGGUGCGUAGGCGGCGCGGUCAGUCGGGUGUGAAAUCCCUCGGCUCAACCGAGGAAUUGCGCCCAAAACUGCCGUGCUUGAGGGAGACAGAGGUAAGCGGAACUGAUGGUGGAGCGGUGAAAUGCGUUGAUAUCAUCAGGAACACCAGUGGCGAAAGCGGCUUACUGGGUCUCUUCUGACGCUGAGGCACGAAAGCUAGGGUAGCGAACGGGAUUAGAUACCCCAGUAGUCC